This 1371-nucleotide long non-coding RNA is filed under the name Homo sapiens (human). Its description in RNAcentral is "TGF-beta induced lncRNA activating myofibroblasts". Lineage: Eukaryota; Metazoa; Chordata; Mammalia; Primates; Hominidae. The record is from RNAcentral.
AUACUCAGUGGUGGCCAUAGAGAGUUGGUGACUGCCUUUGAGAGGAGAAUGGUUGUGAUCCUUUUGCCGAGAACUCACCCAGAGGACUUAUACCUUGGUGACAGCAGAAGGACUCAAGUUAGAAGGCCAGGGCCCUUAAAGGGAGGGGACGAUUCGAGGAAAGUAUAGAUUAGAAAACUGAGGCCCAGAGAAGGAAAGUAGCUGCCAGAGGUCACACAGCUAGGAUUGAGGGAUCAGAGAGUUCCUCCUCCCCCACAAGCUGGCACAUGUGGAUAUUGGCUCUGUUUUGCCUUUGACCCCUAGUGAAAGAAAAUACUGAGACGGAGUCUCGCUCUGUCGCCCAGGUUGGAGUGAAGCGGCUAGAUCUCAGCUCACUGCAACCUCUGCCUCCCAGGUUUAAGCAAUUCUCCUGUCUCAGCCUCCAGAGUAGCUGGGACUACAGGCGCAUGCCACCAUGCCCUACUAAUUUUUUGUAUUUUUAGGAGAGACAGGCCUUCACCAUGUUGGUCAAGCUGGUCUCGAACUCCUGACCUCAGGUGACCCACCGGCUUCAGCCUCCCAAAGUGCUGGGAUUACAGGCAUGAGCCACCGCGCCCAGCCUCAUAUCUAUCUUUAUCACUCCAUUUCAGAUCUUCUUCCAUAUAUGGCUCUGUGUGUCUCCUGUCCUUCCCUGUCUCCUCACUGCUUUUCAGCUGGUAGACCCCUGUGGGGACAACAGAUCAGAGCUUGGUCACCAAUAUGGACAUCUAGGUCUGAGCAGGGCCCACUCCCCGGGGGCGCAUCAGCUCCAUCCCGGCACCCUUUACACUGGCCUUCUCUUCACAAAGGACCACAGGUCAUCCUCAAGCCUUCCUCCCAGGCUAUCCUUGUCCCUGAAUACUAAUGUCUAAAGGUCAGCCCAGCUACCAGCAGUGUGCAUGUGAUGUGUCCCAUCUCCCCUUCGGAUUGGAGGAAGAAGCUGUGUCCCUCCCAUCAGACAGACGGUCUCCUUAAAGAUUCUCCUGGUCUCCAGCUUGGGCUCUGCUGGAAAGAAGAGGAAGUAUUUAGCAAGGGUGAAGAUGGGUUCUUACUUCCCUGAGGCAACCAGAGAUAAGAAAAGACCAGAAUAUGAAUAUCCAGCAUUCCACAAAGAAUCCUACAGGCAGGGAUAUUGCCCAAUCACCAGUGCCUCGCAUCCCAGUUCUAUCCAAGAUCCAAGCUUGAUAUCCUCCUGAAAGACUUCCUGAAUCAGGUCACCAACAUGGACAUCUGAACUUCCAGAAUCAGGUCACCGUCUUUCUUCUCAUCUCUGGAUGUAUUUGGAGCUCAUUUGUCUGACGGUUUUUGAAUGCUAUCUUUUAAAAAUAAACUUUUACAAUUUGGGUUUAAUAA